RNAcentral lists this long non-coding RNA (892 nucleotides) under Betta splendens (Siamese fighting fish). RNAcentral's name for it is "lncRNA (ENSBSLG00000023752.1)". The record is from RNAcentral. Lineage: Eukaryota; Metazoa; Chordata; Actinopteri; Anabantiformes; Osphronemidae.
UGACUAAACCUGUUCACCACCUCCUGUGAAGACGUCCUGUUCUCACACAUUGAGUUUUUUCAAUGUAGUGAACAAGGAGCCUAUAUGACAACCUGGAGGAUUAUUAUGAUGCUUAUUUACGCCGCUGCAGUCAGCAGCAAAGCUGGGGUGGAUUCAGGCCCCUGAGGCUCCUAUGAGGCUGAGCAAUGGAUGCUGAAAGCAGAGAUUCUUCCCGUGAACCUCGGAGAGAAUGUUUGCAUGCCAUGUCAUGGACCUGCAAAAGCACAAAUCGUGUUGGUGGAGUGGACCAGACCAGACCUGGAGUCACCUGAGUAUGUAUUUUUCUUCCGGGAUGAGCGAUCCUACACGUCCUACCAGCACUGGUCCUUUGUGGGUCGGGUGGAGCUGAAGGAUAAAGAGAUGAAGAAUGGAGACGUGUCCCUAAUUCUGAGCAGCGUGAGAAUCAGUGACGUCGGUGUGUAUGAGUGUCGGAUCUCACAAGGAAAGACAAGGUCAAAGAGAGCCAACAUCAAGAUGGAGCCGAUCCAAGUCAUCAGCCUGAAGGUGGAGGAGGAAGGCGCUAAAACCAACGUCUGGCACAUCGGAGCUGCGGCGAGUCUCAUCCUGUCUGCUGUGGUCGUGAUACUUGUUGCUGUGAUCUUCAAAAAACGUAAUAGGGAGCAAAAAUAAAUACUGCACUUCUUUACAACUGUAUACUGUAGGAUAUGACAUAACAGAUUACAGGUUCACAGAUAAUUUCCUGAUUUUGGUGGCAUAAUAAUAUUUUAACAUUUUUCUUUUACUGGAAUUUAAUGAAAAACAGAUUUUUCAUCUUUGUUAAAAUACAAUGUAACUUACUGUAAAUUACUGCUGAUUAUAUGAAUGUUAAAAAAUAAACAGCUGAAAACCUCCA